UGACACUUGUUGCGGAGCUGCUUUAUGUUGCCAUCUUGUGGCAUUACUGUCUUCAGACAUCUCUUGAUCUCUUUGACUACUUCACGAAAAUAGUAAUACGCCUCGCCGGUGGCGGAUUUAAAGGCAAGGAGAGGAGCUUAUGUGAUUGGUGAAAACAGGUCUUGGCUGUGUUAAACCCAUUCCACGCCCUAGCUUCUCCCCCGCUCCGACUUACGCCGCUGGGAGGAGCUGAGUUAGGGAGGGGGGAUACUUACGCCGGGCUGCGCCUCAAACCAAAAUACCAAAUUGUGCUUGGGAACGCCUUGUCGGCGCAGCGGACCUCACUUACGCCGCGCCUGCAGCACGUCUCCGGCGAGGCACGAAAAUAGAGCCCCAUGUCUUUAACCUAAGAAUACGUGACCACUUCUGUAAUGACCUGCCACCGUCUGUUUUUUUUUUUCUUUUAUCAAACAGAGUGCAGUGAGUGCUCCUGCAAUGCUCUGUUUGUUUACUUUUACACUGAACACCAGUAGCUGCUUGCACGUCCUCAUCACAUGGCUUCAAAGCCUGCUGAUCUUCGGCCAUGUGUUUUAGCUUUAGGUGGUAAAACUUAGUUGAAACUAUGAUUUUUUUGUACAAACCACAUCCACACCACAGAGGUAGCUCCCUUUUUUGGCACUAGAUCCUCAUUUGAGGACAAGGUUGACACUGCUGUGCUGCUCUCGCUCGCCAAUAUUGUUGUUGUGUAUGUUUUUAUGCUUCAUUUUAUCAAGAGUUUUCCUAUGUACUUACCAGUGCCACAGAGGCUCCCAUCCUAAUGCCACUGUUUGCAUCCUGCAAGCUCCUAUCUACUGAACCACCUGACCUUGAACAACCUGAAGAUAGAAGUGAACUGAGCUGUUACCUGUAUGUUUGUACCUGUGGCUGCCAAAGCUGAAAUUAAAGGUUAUUAACAAUCAUCUCUGUUGUGUUGUUUGGCUCCAAUCACAGCCUUGCACGGAUUUCUGAUGAGCUGCACACAGAUGUGACUACACAUCAGCCAUGCAUUUUGCUGUAGACAGCAGAUGACAAUUAUUGACUGCUUAUGUGCCCUUGAGCAAUAUGCCGAUUUUCUAUCAGAAGGAUAAAAGAGAGAAGAGGAUGAAUUCCCAGCUGGAGGCGUUAAUGUCUGAGUAUCAUAACAGUUAUCUAUAAAUCAGUGGAGCAACAGCAGCAUACAGCUGUAGGUGGAUUAGAGAAGCUGCGUUGCACCUAAAGCUCAUGAUUUAACGGAGAUGCUGCUGCAUUAACAACCUUGAAUUAUCUGACACCCUGUUAGGAUAAAAGCAGCACCAAGGUGACUCGUAGUAACUAUUGUCAGAUGGUCCUCGCUUUUUCUUCAGCAAAGCGUGAAAGUGAAACGACCCACUGAAUUCUCCCAGUCCCUCAGCGCUAAAUGGAAAAUAUUACAAUGCACAGACGCCCGCCUCCAAAUUAAACAGCACAGAGGAGAGGAGGAGGAGGAAAGCAAAGGGUUAUUUGAUGCAAUGCAGGAGCAGAGCUGUUUCUAUGCAGAAAGUUGUUUGAAUAUUACCUACAGAUGCCUUCAAAUGCUCCAGAUAUCAAGUAUUCUGUUUUAGGGGGUAGACCAAAACAUUACAGCCUGCAUUACAAGUCCCACUGGGGCCACCCAUGCUACUAAUGAAUGCUUGGUAGUCAUUUGGCUCUAAUUUGCCUCUAAAUGGCCACCAAAUAGCUACUGUGUCACAUAAAUUAAGGCUUAUUUUACUGGUUAACUUGUGAAAUAAAAAGCGCCAGUGUUUCCCCGUCAGAGGGAAAACAGCAGAUAAAAACUGAUUCCUGUACAAAGUAUUUCCAACAUGUCUCUGAACCGAUUCUUCUGUCUGCAGGUCGACCUCGUUUAAGCAUCUUCACGUGUUUCAUGUUCCAAGUCAGCUUCCAUGUGGUUUGUUUAUAUCCUCAUUUGUUUGUUUGCUUGUUUGUUUGUGCCUUUGCUUCACUCUGCAGCUGAGCUAACAAGCCGCCAUUUUUGCCCGGGCCGCUGGUAUGGUCCAAUUAAAGGGUGUGAUCAGCCAGAACGCUUUAAUGAUGGCUGUGGAGCCGGAGCUGACCAGCUUAGAGAGGGAAAGAGGGAGAGAGAGAGAGAGAGAGAUGGCAUGCUGGGAGGUGGUGUCUGCAGUCGACAGUGUUGUGGCUCAGUGGAUACACUGCAGACAGCAGACAGGGUACAAUUAGACUGUAGACCCUUUAAAAGAAAGGAGGAAAAGACCAGCCACUGUUGGAGGGAAAAGUUUAUGAUGUCCAUAAUUAGAGGGGCGACAGUGGACAUCUGUCUAUCUAUCUAUCUAUAUACCUAUCUAUCUAUCUAUCCAUCUAUCUACCUAUCUAUCCAUUCAUCCAUCUAUCUAUCAAUGUCUGUCUGUCUCUAUAUCUGUCCAUCUGUUUGUCUGUCUUGUGAUAUACAUAUUUCUUUUUAAAUCAUCCACUUCCUUUCAUCAGUCCUUCAAUCUGUAAAUCAUGCUACAGUUAUUCCACCCAAUUUUAAUCCAUCCAUUCAAUAUCAUACAUUCACCCAUCUACCCCUAGAUGUGACCAUAAUCCAUUUGUUGUCUAUCUAUCCAUCCAUCAUCCACACAGCCAACUAUUAUACAUCCAUCCAUCACUUCAUACAUCCAACAUCAUCACCUUUCAUUAAUCCAGACAUCCAAAUAUCAUCCAUACCACCAUCUUUCAUCCAUAAUAUGCAUCCAACCAUCAUCCUUUCAAACAUCUGUACAUUAAACCAUCCAUCAUCUAUCAGUCUGAUUGUCUGUAAGUCCAUCCUGCUUUCUGUGAUCCCCCACCAUUCAUCUGUCCAUUUACCUUUAAGUCAAUCUUUUAACCGUCCAUCCAUCCAUCAGUCCUUCAUCUGUUACUGUUAUUUGACUAUCAAAUAUGUUAUCACCCAUCCAGUCAUUUUACCAUCCAUCCAUUAUCUAACGGUCUACUAUCAAUAUAACAAACCAUUCUUCUGACAUCCAUUUGUCCAUCUAUUCAACUAUCCUCUCAUUUUAACAGACACAAUAGACCAAAAGUUUGGAAGCAAGGCCAUUACAGGCCAAACAGUUAGGAGUAACUUCAAGUUUUUGUUCACAGUGCUUUUUUUUAAAUCCAGCAUAUGUAUUUUGGGAUGUAUGUACUCCAUGGUCAGAUGUUGCUUUCAUGGAAAUGAACCAUUUUACUCCUUUACCUUUAGAUAUACAUUGAUGUUAACAGACCAUUGCUAAAUAUAUGUCAGCAAAAGAUAAUAAGGGCUUAGUUUUAGGGUUGAAAACAUUUGCAAGAGUCACAACUUCAGUGCAAAAGCAAAAAAACAAAUCACAGUUGUAUUAUUCACUUCAACUUUUUGGCUUUUGAGAGUCUGCAUACAAAAAUCCUAAUAAAUCUCAACUGCGUUCAAACUAACACAAAAAUGGCUAGAAAGAGGCAACUGAGUAAAGAAACAAAAGUACAGAUUUGUACAUUGAGGAAAGAAGGAUACAGAAAGAGAAAUUGCAAAACGCCUAAAGGUGUUUAACAAAGGAGUCCACUACACUCUGAAGAGACUAGAGGCACCUGGAAGUUAUGAUGAUAGAAAAAGACCUCGACAAAAGAGAGUUACUACAAAAGCAGAGGAUAAACAUAGCAUUGUCACCAGUAAGAGAGAUCGGCAAAAGACAGCACCAAAAAUAAGGGAGGAAAUCAACAUGACAAGGUCGAAACCCAUAUCUCUGACAACCAUGAAAUGACGUUUGAGAAAGUCUGGGCUGAAGGGUUGUGUAUCUUCAAAAUCACUACUUCGUCCACAGAACAAGAACAAGAGAUAUGAGUGGGCAAAAGCUCACAAAAAUUGGACUUAUAUAGAAACAAGUUUGCACCGUUUGGUUCAAAACGCAAAGUCUAUGUCCGCAGACAAACUGGUGAACGUCUGAAAGCACCAUGUGUUACACCCACAAUUCAGCAUGGAGGUGGUAGUUCCAUGGUAUGGGGAUAUUUUGCAGAUGAUGGAGUAAAAGAUUUGUUUGAAGUAAAGGGUAUUAUGAAGAAGGAACAGUACCACUCCAUCCUCCAGCACCAUGUUGUUCCAUCUGGACUCAGCCUUGUGGCUCACAAGUUUGUUUUGCAGCAAGACAAUGACCCUAAGCACUCUGCCAAGCUCUGUCAGGGUUACCGAGACAAAAAAAGAAGAGGAAGGUGUUCUUCAAAAGAUGGUUUGGCCUCCUCAGUCUCCAGACCUUUCUCCAAUUGAGCUUGUGCAGGAUGGAUUGGAUCGAUCGGUCAGAAAAACGCGUCCCACGAAUCAGCAGUCUCUUUUUAAUGAACAUAAGAAAGCUUGGAAUGCAAUCCCUGGAACAUACCUUAAUAUACUUGUGGAACGAAUGCCUGGUAUAAGCAAAGUCUAAGCAACAAUAACUCAAAUACCUAAUAAUUAUAGUCAAAAUGUCUUCUGAUAAGUUACUCUUUACACAAAAGUCAUGUUUAUUGUGUUGCAAAUUAUAUAUAUGAAACUAUGAUUUUUUGGUACAAAUCUGAUCUUGCUUCCAAACCUUUGGACUGUAGUGUACAUCCAACCAUCCAUCCUUCAUUGCAGCCAUUAAUUCUUUGUGUUAACCAUUACAUUCAAUUACCAUACAUCCAACCAUCUAUCUGUAUGCCAUCCAUCGAUCCAUCAAACUUUUAUCCAUCGAUCCAUUUACAUGGUAACUUCUCAUCCAUCCAUCUAACCAUCCAUCAAUCCUUCAACUGUCUUUUAUCCAUACCUUCAACCCUACAUCUGAAACUCAUGUUUCCAUCCUUUGACUCAUACAUCUUUGUCAAUAAAUAUCCAGCCAAUUACCCACCCGUAGUUCAUAUUUCCAUCUGUCAUUCCAGUGAUCCAUCCAACCAUCAGUUCACAAUCAUUCAUUAAAACAUUCAUUCAUUCAUUUAUUAUUGUGUUAUCCAUUUCACCAUACAUCAAAUAAUCCAUAGAUUUUUAACCAAUCCAUCUGUACAUGUCUGUACAUCAACUUCUUAUCCAUCCAUCCAGCCAGCCAGCCAUUAAUUCUUUGUGUUAACCAUUAAACCAUAUAUCCGUUCAUAUGUCAGUUUACAUCCAUCAUCUUUCCGUUCAUCCAACCCUCUAUCUGUAUGCCAUCCAUCAAUCAUUGAUAUUUUAUCCAUCCAUCCAUCCUUUAUCCCUUAACUGUUGUUUUCCAUAAGCACAUGUUUUCCAUGUGAACAAUAAUAAGCUGAAUUUGCUGUCCUCAGUCCAGAAACAAUGUAUAAUUUUGGCAUGAAAUCUAUGUCAUCUAAGUUAGACAAAUCAAGCUCCACAGUUGUUGUCGUAUGUGAAAUUUCCUGACCCAGUCACAGAUCAUAAACUAACACCUGUUUAUACCAGCACUAAGCCCAGGUUCCAAUCACUGGCCACAUGUGGCGUCUUUUGUCCCCUGCUCACUGUCAUACUCUACCAUACAUGCAUACACACACACACACACACACACACACACACAGCUUGUGUGUUGUUUACCUAAUGCAUCAGUGUUACAUUUGAGCAUGUUUAUGAAAUGCCCUCACGAACACUCGAUUAGACACACACAUGCCUGUGCGUGGGUGUGUGUGUAACUUGUGUGUCUGUGUGUAUCUGUGUUUUCAUUUGUGUGCGUGUGUGUGUAAAGUAUUCGACCCCUGGCUCUCAGCAGAGGCCAGUGUCUGUUGUGGAGCCCUCUAAUGGACGCCCAGCUGGAGUCAGGCACAUACACACGGGCAGCCAAGGUCAGAGCCACUGCCUCUCAGGACCCCAUCAUUUGGCAGAGCUCUGCAGCCUGCAGUCCAUGUGUGUGUGUGUGUGUGUGUGUGUGUGUGUGUGUGUGUGUGUGUGUGUGUGUGUGUGUGUGUGUGUGUGUGUGAAGCUCUGUCAGUGUUAUGUGUUUGAAUGAAUAUGUGUGUAUUUUUGUGUGAAAUAUUGUAUUUAUUUGUGUGGGUGAGUUUUUGCUUCGAAAAGUAGGAACAACGUGGGUGCAUGUCAGGUCAAGUACCACACACUCAUAUUCUCUCUCUCUCUCUCUCUCUCUCGCUCUG
This is a non-coding RNA of Xyrichtys novacula (pearly razorfish), 6060 nucleotides long. NCBI's taxonomy places the organism in Eukaryota, Metazoa, Chordata, Actinopteri, Labriformes, Labridae. The record is from the annotation of a GenBank genome assembly.